This 215-nucleotide ribosomal RNA is filed under the name Campeiostachys nutans. Its description in RNAcentral is "Elymus nutans partial small subunit ribosomal RNA". The stretch from base 38 to 215 matches the Rfam family "Eukaryotic small subunit ribosomal RNA", at positions 685 to 864 of the family's 1831-position model. Lineage: Eukaryota; Viridiplantae; Streptophyta; Magnoliopsida; Poales; Poaceae. The record is from RNAcentral.
AGAUCAGAAUGUUGGUCGUGCCUUGGUACGUACUGGCAUUAUUGGUUUCUCCCUUCUGACGAACCAUGAUGUCAUUUAUUUGGUGUUGUGGGGAAUCAGGACUGUUACUUUGAAAAAAUUAGAGUGUUCAAAGCAGGCUCACGCUUGAAUACAUUAGCAUGGAAUAAUGAAAUAGGACGUUCGAUCCUAUUUUGUUGGUUUCUAGGAUUGACGUA